ACCCAGGUCGGGAACUCGCUCAGGAUCACGCGGCCAGGAAACGCGAAGCUGGGAUCGCAGCAUAGCUAGAAUGACCUGGGAAUCUCGAUUGUGGCAGGACUGGAGGUGCUGGUAGAUAAUGGACAUGGAUGGGAGACAGGAGAACAUCUUCGUUUUGGAGCAGCAAAGCUGUCAGAGCUUUCGAGUCUCAGCUGUAUCCCCUCUGCCCCAGAGGGCACUGCCUUGGUGGACUCUGUCCCUCCAUCUUCUGCCCUUGGGGACUCAACACCUUAAGAGAGUGUGGCCUGUGCUUUGUCCGCUCCCCUCAGACUCCCA
Long non-coding RNA from Ailuropoda melanoleuca (giant panda), 315 nucleotides. RefSeq lists it as uncharacterized. The record is from RefSeq and is a predicted model, not a curated record. Lineage: Eukaryota; Metazoa; Chordata; Mammalia; Carnivora; Ursidae. The transcript has 3 exons.